CUCUCUGAAUAAGAUUGAAGAUU
Molecule: non-coding RNA, 23 nt
Filed under: Cricetulus griseus (Chinese hamster)
Lineage: Eukaryota; Metazoa; Chordata; Mammalia; Rodentia; Cricetidae
Source: RNAcentral